CGCAGGAGCAACAUACCACAGCAUACAUUAAACAAUGCCAGACAAAAGGCACGGGAAAAUAUACUGGAAUUAAUGAAGCGACUAAAUGACGGUUGACCCGGAGGGAACAGAUUUCAGUUAUCAGGGGACGACUGUUCCACAUCUCGUGGGUCUGAGAGGUGACAGCAACACCUUACUGUCUUGGAUUCCAUUGUUGCUGGGCAUCACAUAAACAACAGACUGCCAGCACCACAGUCCAUUACUGACAGUAAAGACCACAGUCAGAUAAACCUAAGGUGCAACUUCCUCACUCAACAUCUAUGCACCAGGAGAACACAAGGGAGCGACAUUGAGAGGAGGCGAUGAUGAACGGUGAAACUCGAGCAUGAAAUAUUGGACAGUUUCACAGAUCAGAAAUGCAGUCGAAGCUAAUGAGGAUAUGGAGGGUUUGGUCCAUCUUAAGGGAUUGAAUUGUUUGACUUGUGACAGUGACACUCUGGGACGUGUGACUCUCGCAAUGUGAAUAUAGCAUGAACUGUACAUAAACAUAAAUCAA
Non-coding RNA from Paramisgurnus dabryanus, 535 nucleotides. Lineage: Eukaryota; Metazoa; Chordata; Actinopteri; Cypriniformes; Cobitidae. The record is from RefSeq and is a predicted model, not a curated record.